GACGAACGCUGGCGGCGUGCUUAACACAUGCAAGUCGAACGGAGUGGCGAACGGGUGAGUAACACGUGGGUGACCUGCCCUGCACUUCGGGAUAAGCCUGGGAAACUGGGUCUAAUACCGGAUAGUGUGGGAUGGGCGCGCGGCCUAUCAGCUUGUUGGUGGGGUAAUGGCCUACCAAGGCGGCGACGGGUAGCCGGCCUGAGAGGGUGGACGGCCACAUUGGGGCUUGGGCGCGGCGCAGACUGCUACGGGAGUCAGCAGUGGGGAAUAUGGCACAACGGGCGGAAGCCUGUUGCAGCGACCCCGCGUGGGGGAUGACGCCCUUCGGGGUGAAAACUCCUUUCACCAUCGACGCGGUAGAUGCAGAAGAAGCACCGGCUAACUCCGUGCCAGCAGCCGCGGUAAUUC
Molecule: ribosomal RNA, 408 nt
Filed under: uncultured bacterium
Lineage: Bacteria
Description: partial 16S ribosomal RNA
Rfam family: Bacterial small subunit ribosomal RNA
Source: RNAcentral